Molecule: long non-coding RNA, 828 nt
Filed under: Callithrix jacchus (white-tufted-ear marmoset)
Lineage: Eukaryota; Metazoa; Chordata; Mammalia; Primates; Cebidae
Description: lncRNA (ENSCJAG00000059186.2)
Source: RNAcentral
UGUCACCUCCAGUUUCCAUUUUAAAUUGUAAAAUUUCCAAAUUUGGAGACAAGCAGAUAUUUUUCUCAUCUUGAAAAGGAGGAGCGAGCGUUAGCUAGCUGAUUAGCCGUAGGUGGGAAACGAACCAUCUCUAAUAAAAACAGUAACUUUUAGAGAAACUCUGGGGAAGUUCUGUAGUCCCACCCUGCCCCGUGACCUUUCAUUCUCUUAGUUCUUCUGCCACAGAGAAGCACCGAUCGACUAAUAAAAGAUUUGAUCUUGCUAUAAUUUCCCAAGCAGAUAAGAAAACAAGGCCUUACAGUUGCCCACUUUCAUGAAGUGGUGUCACCCUCCAGAAUCUUAACGAAGAGGUGGGUCACUGUUCAGAUAUGUUUAAAAAUUCUGGGAUUCUUUUUCUUGGACAAGAGGUAUGUUGAUGUAUGAACAUGUACGAAGGUAAGUAUGCGGAUAUAAAGGUAAGACUCACUUAACCCUUACUAUGUGCCAGGCACUACUCUAAGCCAUUUAUAUUAAUAACUCAUUUAGUCUUUAUAUUAACCUUAAGAGGAAAGUACCAUUAUUAUCGUUUUGGAAGAUAAAGACACUAAGUCACAGAGAAGGUCAGUAAUUUCCCAAGGCUACAUGUUUCUUAAGUGCCAAUGUCUUAAGUGUGGUUUCCAAUGAAACCACACAUGUAGUUUGAGAUUAAUCCCUUAAGCACUUUACUAUUUUUAAUGGACAUUGAAGACAAUAUGUAGAGUUUGACUUAUAACUGAUAUAUGGCUAACUCCACUCAAUUCUAGCAUAUUUCAGAUGCUCAUUCAUUCAUUCCGCACAUCUUUAUUGCUU